CUUUGCUAUGGUAAAUAAUUCAUGUUUUCAAGACAAACUUUCUACCCACGAGCUGUGUACUGUCUUGUGCUGUGUGCACUUUUCAUUUAAAGAGUGCAUGGUGGACUGAGGUUGAAAUAAGACUGCACGGAUAUGUCGACUCCGCGGUAAAGUUCACUGGGGAUCAUGCUUCCAGAACGUUCCCUCUGAGGAAAGUCAAGCAGCCACCUUUACCUUGUCCACCUGGAGUCUGCCAGCAGGGCCUGGGAUUACAUCUUCUCCUCCCUCCCCCGGCCUCCCCAGUCCUCCUGUCUAUAGCCUGGAUCUGACACC
This 312-nucleotide long non-coding RNA is filed under the name Chinchilla lanigera (long-tailed chinchilla). Its description in RNAcentral is "lncRNA (ENSCLAG00000023384.1)". The record is from RNAcentral. Lineage: Eukaryota; Metazoa; Chordata; Mammalia; Rodentia; Chinchillidae.